Molecule: ribosomal RNA, 204 nt
Filed under: Triticum aestivum (bread wheat)
Lineage: Eukaryota; Viridiplantae; Streptophyta; Magnoliopsida; Poales; Poaceae
Description: partial small subunit ribosomal RNA
Source: RNAcentral
AUGUCAUUGCACAACUACAUUCGUGAGACCAAGUUGCCUGAUGAGGAGUUUGACAAAUGUGAUGAAGAUGAAGAUUAUGUUCCCGAUGAGGACUUGCGAGUACGGUCACUCCAAGGAGAUAGUGUUCCUGCGAGACUUGACAUCGUCGACAUGAACAAAGUUCGUGACAGGAUUGCUAACUCCUUGAUGAGCUCGAGUGGAUAG